GGGCUGGUAGUAGAAUGGUUAAUACGCUCCGUUCGCAACGGAGAGACUCCGGGUUCGAUACAAAAAGCGAAUAUCCCGGCCAGUCCA
Molecule: transfer RNA, 87 nt
Filed under: Candidatus Woesearchaeota archaeon
Lineage: Archaea; Nanobdellati; Candidatus Woesearchaeota
Description: tRNA-Ala
Rfam family: tRNA
About the family: Transfer RNA (tRNA) molecules are approximately 80 nucleotides in length. Their secondary structure includes four short double-helical elements and three loops (D, anti-codon, and T loops). Further hydrogen bonds mediate the characteristic L-shaped molecular structure. tRNAs have two regions of fundamental functional importance: the anti-codon, which is responsible for specific mRNA codon recognition, and the 3' end, to which the tRNAs corresponding amino acid is attached (by aminoacyl-tRNA synthetases). tRNAs cope with the degeneracy of the genetic code in two manners: having more than one tRNA (with a specific anti-codon) for a particular amino acid; and 'wobble' base-pairing, i.e. permitting non-standard base-pairing at the 3rd anti-codon position.
Source: RNAcentral